This 498-nucleotide ribosomal RNA is filed under the name uncultured bacterium. RNAcentral's name for it is "partial 16S ribosomal RNA". It matches the Rfam family "Bacterial small subunit ribosomal RNA", at positions 29 to 523 of the family's 1533-position model. The record is from RNAcentral.
AUUGAACGCUGGCGGCAUGCCUUACACAUGCAAGUCGAACGGUAACGCGGGGCAACCUGGCGACGAGUGGCGAACGGGUGAGUAACGCAUCGGAACGUGCCCAGUAGUGGGGGAUAGCCCGGCGAAAGCCGGAUUAAUACCGCAUACGACCUACGGGUGAAAGAGGGGGAUCGCAAGACCUCUCGCUAUUGGAGCGGCCGAUGUCUGAUUAGGUAGUUGGUGGGGUAAAGGCCUACCAAGCCUACGAUCUGUAGCUGGUCUGAGAGGACGACCAGCCACACUGGGACUGAGACACGGCCCAGACUCCUACGGGAGGCAGCAGUGGGGAAUUUUGGACAAUGGGCGCAAGCCUGAUCCAGCCAUGCCGCGUGCGGGAAGAAGGCCUUCGGGUUGUAAACCGCUUUUGUCAGGGAAGAAACGCUCUGGACUAAUAAUCUGGGGUAAUGACGGUACCUGAAGAAUAAGCACCGGCUAACUACGUGCCAGCAGCCGCCGUAA